Molecule: ribosomal RNA, 479 nt
Filed under: Micrococcineae bacterium CL2.54
Lineage: Bacteria; Bacillati; Actinomycetota; Actinomycetes; Micrococcales
Description: bacterial SSU rRNA
Rfam family: Bacterial small subunit ribosomal RNA
Source: RNAcentral
UGAUCCCUGGCUCAGGAUGAACGCUGGCGGCGUGCUUAACACAUGCAAGUCGAACGAUGACCCGGUGCUUGCACCGGUGAUUAGUGGCGAACGGGUGAGUAACACGUGAGUAACCUGCCCUUAACUCUGGGAUAAGCCUGGGAAACUGGGUCUAAUACCGGAUAUGACUCCUCAUCGCAUGGUGGGGGGUGGAAAGCUUUAUUGUGGUUUUGGAUGGACUCGCGGCCUAUCAGCUUGUUGGUGAGGUAAUGGCUCACCAAGGCGACGACGGGUAGCCGGCCUGAGAGGGUGACCGGCCACACUGGGACUGAGACACGGCCCAGACUCCUACGGGAGGCAGCAGUGGGGAAUAUUGCACAAUGGGCGCAAGCCUGAUGCAGCGACGCCGCGUGAGGGAUGACGGCCUUCGGGUUGUAAACCUCUUUCAGUAGGGAAGAAGCGAAAGUGACGGUACCUGCAGAAGAAGCGCCGGCUAACUA